CCUAGGGUGGCUGCAGUGGGGAAUAUUGGACAACGGGGGGAACCCUGAUCCAGCGACGCCGCGUGAGUGAAGAAGUAUUUCGGUAUGUAAAGCUCUAUCAGCAGGGAAGAAAGAAAUGACGGUACCUGACUAAGAAGCCCCGGCUAACUACGUGCCAGCAGCCGCGGUAAUACGUAGGGGGCAAGCGUUAUCCGGAUUUACUGGGUGUAAAGGGAGCGUAGACGGUUACGCAAGUCUGGAGUGAAAGGCGGGGGCCCAACCCCCGGACUGCUUUGGAAACUGUAUAACUGGAGUGCAGGAGAGGUAAGUGGAAUUCCUAGUGUAGCGGUGAAAUGCGUAGAUAUUAGGAGGAACACCAGUGGCGAAGGCGGCUUUCUGGACGACAACUGACGCUGAGGCGCGAAAGUGUGGGGAGCAAACAGGAUUAGAUACCCCAGUAGUC
RNAcentral lists this ribosomal RNA (442 nucleotides) under uncultured bacterium. RNAcentral describes it as "partial 16S ribosomal RNA". It matches the Rfam family "Bacterial small subunit ribosomal RNA", at positions 338 to 795 of the family's 1533-position model. The record is from RNAcentral.